This 1497-nucleotide ribosomal RNA is filed under the name Triticum aestivum (bread wheat). RNAcentral describes it as "partial small subunit ribosomal RNA". Lineage: Eukaryota; Viridiplantae; Streptophyta; Magnoliopsida; Poales; Poaceae. The record is from RNAcentral.
AUGUCGGUGCGAAGGCCCCGGGGUGAAGAGGAAGACGACGAGCAGGGGAGCGGAGGCGACUAUCAUCAGCAACGGCACGGCCCGAGGCGGAUACGGCCGGCCGCGCCGCUCUCCUUCAGAUCCAUGGUCGGAAGAGCCAUGGCAGUGGACACUAUCGAGCAAAUUGCCAUGAGUUUGGAACCGGUUAUUCGUAGGGUGGUACGAGAAGAAAUUCAAAACAUCUUUUCUCAGCACGAUCACUUACCACACAGGUCUCUCCCUUUAAACAUCCAAGAGGUCGAUGUCUCGCCUAGGUUGAAGCUUUCCUUUGCAAAGAAGCUCAUGCUACCUAUCUUCACCAACAACAAGCUUGUUGAUGCCACCAAGAACAAAAUUGAAAUCUGGCUCAUGGAUACUAGAACCAACCACCAUAUCACUCAAACAGAAACUAACGAAGGCUCUUCAACACUGAAGCUGGAGGUACUUGUACUAGAUGGCGAUUUCAGUUGCGAAGAUGGCAUGGGGUGGACGGAUGAUCAGUUUACUGCUGCAACUGUGAAGGCUAGAGAGGGUAGGAGACCACUACUUGUGGGUAGUACACUCAAUGUAGCAAUGAACAAUCAAGGAGUGUCCAUGAUUAAUGAUGUGGCUUUCACUGAUAAUUCAAGUUGGAUAAGGAGCCGUAAGUUCCGAAUCGGUGUUCGUGUCAUGGGAGCGAGCUAUUAUGGGCCAAGGAUUCAGGAGGCAGUGAGCGAAAGCUUCAUAGUGAAAGAUCAUCGAGGCGAAUUGUACAAGAAGCAUUACCCUCCUCUCUUGACUGACAAUAUAUGGAGUCUCAAAAACAUCGGAAAAGAUGGACCGAUUGACAAGAGAUUGGAGUCCGAGGGGGUCAAGAACGUUCAAGACCUCCUGAAGCUUCAAACCGUAGAUCCUGAUAAGCUAAAAAAUCUCGUUGGCAUGUCAGAUCGGCAAUGGAGGACAACACUGAAUCACGGAAAAACAUGUAAAAUGGGACGAAAAAGCUACAUCUUCAAAUUUGAAGGGUGUGAUGUUAUAUUCAGCCCUAUAGGUGAGAUUUUAGCAGCAAGAAUUGGAGGCCAAACAUGCUCUUUGCAACAUCUACAGCAGCAACAAAUGGUCCAAGUGAAGCAAUUGGCCUCCAGGGCAUACGAGCAAUGGGAUAAACUAGAGGAAGUGGUGGCAAAUGAUACAGAACUUGUUACAUAUGAAGGCUUGUCAUCGUUUCCUCGGGGAAAACCCGGUUCGUCAUGUACACUAGCGAGUGAUGAAAGCAUCAUCAGCUCAGGGUCUCAAAGUGUCGAGUAUCUUGGAAAGUUGGGAUCUAGAACACCAACUUCCAAUGCUACAAUGGCGUCUAAUAGCAGCAACUCCUUAGAUUCCGUGGUAGCUAUCCCAGCUAGUGAUGCUAUGUAUUGGAUCCCAAGCAUGGCCGUUGACGACGAUCACUUUACUUGGAACAACUCUACUAACCUCGGUUGUUGGGAUCAAGUUGAUUAA